Molecule: ribosomal RNA, 253 nt
Filed under: uncultured bacterium
Lineage: Bacteria
Description: partial 16S ribosomal RNA
Rfam family: Bacterial small subunit ribosomal RNA
Source: RNAcentral
UACGAAGGGGGCUAGCGUUGUUCGGAAUUACUGGGCGUAAAGCGCACGUAGGCGGAUACUUAGGUCAGGGGUGAAAUCCCGGGGCUCAACCCCGGAACUGCCUUUGAUACUGGGUAUCUCGAGUCCGGAAGAGGUGAGUGGAAUUCCGAGUGUAGAGGUGAAAUUCGUAGAUAUUCGGAGGAACACCAGUGGCGAAGGCGGCUCACUGGUCCGGUACUGACGCUGAGGUGCGAAAGCGUGGGGAGCAAACAGG